This 253-nucleotide ribosomal RNA is filed under the name uncultured bacterium. Its description in RNAcentral is "partial 16S ribosomal RNA". It matches the Rfam family "Bacterial small subunit ribosomal RNA", at positions 524 to 776 of the family's 1533-position model. The record is from RNAcentral.
UACGGGGGGGGCAAGCGUUGUUCGGAAUUACUGGGCGUAAAGGGUGCGCAGGCGGCCAAGUGUGUUAGGCGUGAAAGCCUGGGGCUUAACCCCAGAAUUGCACCUAAAACUACAUGGCUAGAGCAUUGGAGAGGGUAGCGGAAUUCACGGUGUAGCAGUGAAAUGCGUAGAUAUCGUGAGGAACACCAGAGGCGAAGGCGGCUACCUGGACAAUUGCUGACGCUCAGGCACGAAAGCGUGGGGAGCAAAAGGG